GGAGAAAUUGACUACACGUCGCUUUGAUGGGUAGAUGCUUCAGAGGGUAAAAACCUGUCUGCAUGGCCGAGUCUAAAGGCUGGUGGUGAAAGGACUUCAAUCCAGGUGGUGGCUGGUCAAUGGCAGCAUCCCCUUGUGGGAGUGCAAUGUGAGAGGAAUCAUAAUAAGUGAAUGCUGGCCUUGGUUCCCACAGCUGCAGGCUAUCUUGUCUGAGGAGAAGGACAGCUUUUCAGUGCAGUUGAUGUGGUUCCUAAUGUCUUCACAUGGCUCACAAUGACAUCAAAGUUUUAUGAUUUCUUUUACAAGACCAAACACUAAGCAUAAAAAGCACCAAAUUGUACAG
Molecule: long non-coding RNA, 343 nt
Organism: Pogoniulus pusillus (Red-fronted tinkerbird)
Lineage: Eukaryota; Metazoa; Chordata; Aves; Piciformes; Lybiidae
Exons: 3
Source: RefSeq, a predicted model, not a curated record